UGGGGAAUCUUGGACAAUGGGCGCAAGCCUGAUCCAGCCAUGCCGCGUGCAGGAUGAAGGCCUUCGGGUUGUAAACUGCUUUUGUACGGAACGAAAAGACUCUGGUUAAUACCUGGGGUCCAUGACGGUACCGUAAGAAUAAGCACCGGCUAACUACGUGCCAGCAGCCGCGGUAAUACGUAGGGUGCGAGCGUUAAUCGGAAUUACUGGGCGUAAAGCGUGCGCAGGCGGUUAUAUAAGACAGAUGUGGAAUCCCCGGGCUCAACCUGGGAACUGCAUUUGUGACUGUAUAGCUAGAGUACGGCAGAGGGGGAUGGAAUUCCGCGUGUAGCAGUGAAAUGCGUAGAUAUGCGGAGGAACACCGAUGGCGAAGGCAAUCCCCUGGGCCUGUACUGACGCUCAUGCACGAAAGCGUGGGGAGCAAACAGGAUUAGAUACCCAUGUAGUCCCUGAGCGGGCUGGCAAGGCGCAU
RNAcentral lists this ribosomal RNA (472 nucleotides) under uncultured bacterium. RNAcentral describes it as "bacterial SSU rRNA". It matches the Rfam family "Bacterial small subunit ribosomal RNA", at positions 355 to 825 of the family's 1533-position model. The record is from RNAcentral.